RNAcentral lists this transfer RNA (87 nucleotides) under Candidatus Falkowiibacteriota bacterium. RNAcentral's name for it is "tRNA-Leu". It matches the Rfam family "tRNA". Rfam says of the family: Transfer RNA (tRNA) molecules are approximately 80 nucleotides in length. Their secondary structure includes four short double-helical elements and three loops (D, anti-codon, and T loops). Lineage: Bacteria; Candidatus Falkowiibacteriota. The record is from RNAcentral.
GGGCGGAUGGUGGAACUGGUAGACACGCAAGCUUGAGGGGCUUGUGAUCGCAAGGUCGUGGAGGUUCAAGUCCUCUUUCGCCCACCA